Pistacia vera is the source of this 2406-nucleotide RNA transcript. It is a transcript of the gene named granule-bound starch synthase 1, chloroplastic/amyloplastic-like, with no coding region annotated. The transcript has 13 exons. The record is from RefSeq and is a predicted model, not a curated record. Lineage: Eukaryota; Viridiplantae; Streptophyta; Magnoliopsida; Sapindales; Anacardiaceae.
UUUAGGCGCCUAGGUAAAGAGACCCAGUUCAACCAUUCUUAUAAGGCCAAGUGUAUGUCACAUUCAUCUAAGCGAUCACUACAAAUAAUGCGUGACAUCUUAACACUUGAACUUAAGUCAAGUCAUUAACACUUGAAGUGGUUCCUGGCGGGUGAGUUAUUGAGUGCUGAGGCUUUUUCCACAGAUCGAGUGUAGUAGAGAUGGCAACUGUCACUGCCUCACAGUUUGUACCCGGAAGUACUCAACUUUAUGGAACAUCUGGGGCUGCAGUUGAAGCCAAUUUGGUACGGAUGGGCUUGAGGAAUCAAUCUAUGACUCACAAUGGCUUAAGAUCAUUGAACGUGGUGGAUAGACUACAAAUGAAAAUCACUUCCAAAGCAAUGCGUAAUAAAGCUGUGAAGAAAGUGCGAUCAACAGCAAGUGACAUUCCCUCAGGAAAAAUUGUAUGUGGACAAGGGAUGAGAAUAGUAGUUGUGUCGGCUGAGGUUGGUCCAUGGAGUAAAACCGGUGGCCUUGGUGAUGUCACAGGAGGACUUCCACCUGCGCAGGCGGCUAAUGGGCAUCGUGUUAUGACUGUGUCUCCCCGAUACGACCAGUACAAAGAUGCAUGGGAUACGAAUGUUUUAGUUCAGGUUAAAGUUGGGGAUAGAAUUGAAACUGUUCGAUUCUUCCACUGCCACAAACGAGGAGUUGAUCGUGUCUUUGUUGAUCAUCCAAUGUUCCUUGAGAAGGUUUGGGGAAAAACUGGAGCCAAAAUAUAUGGCCCAAGGGCAGGACAGGAUUACAAGGACAACCAACUUCGAUUUAGCUUAUUAUGCCAGGCUGCUCUAGAGGCUCCCAGGGUUCUGAACUUAAACAACAGUGAACAUUUCUCAGGACCAUAUGGGGAGGAUGUUGUCUUCGUUUGCAAUGAUUGGCACACUGCUCUGCUUCCAUGCUACCUGAAAUCCAUGUACCAAUCAAGAGGCAUUUACAAAAAUGCUAAGGUUGCUUUUUGCAUCCACAACAUAGCCUAUCAAGGCAGGUUCGCUAUAGCAGAUUUCUCUCUGCUCAAUUUACCUGAUCAAUUCAGGGGAUCUUUUGACUUUAUUGAUGGUUAUAACACGCCUGUGAAGGGAAGAAAGAUCAAUUGGAUGAAGGCUGGAAUAUUAGAAUCAGACAGGGUCGUGACUGUGAGCCCCCACUAUGCUAAGGAACUUGUUUCUGGGGAGGAUAAAGGUGUUGAAUUGGAUAAUAUUAUUCGUAAAACGGGCAUCACCGGCAUUGUGAAUGGCAUGGAUAUUCAAGAGUGGAACCCUGCAACAGACAAAUACAUCGAUGUCAAAUAUGAUGCCACCACUGUUAUGGAAGCAAAGCCUUUAUUGAAAGAAGCCCUUCAAGCAGAAGUUGGGCUGCCUGUUGACAAGAAUAUCCCGGUGAUAGGUUUCAUUGGAAGACUAGAAGAGCAAAAGGGUUCAGAUAUUCUGGUUGCAGCUAUUUCAAAAUUCAUUGGAGAGAAUGUUCAGAUAGUGGUCCUUGGAACUGGGAAGAAGCACAUGGAGAAACAGAUUGAACAGCUUGAAAUAAAGUAUCCUGAUAAGGCUGUAGGAGUGGCAAAGUUCAAUGCUCCCUUGGCCCAUAAGAUUAUUGCUGGGGCUGAUUAUAUGUUGAUCACUAGCAGAUUUGAGCCAUGUGGUCUCAUUCAGUUGCAAGCCCAGCGAUAUGGAACAGUAAGCCUCCUUAGAUUCCUCUUUGCAACCAAAAUUUUAUUCACUUUUCGAGGCAGUAGGUCAAUUAAUCAGUAAUUCUUCCACAGGUCCCCAUUGUUUCCUCCACUGGUGGACUUGUUGACACUGUCAAAGAAGGUUUCACUGGAUUCCAUAUGGGAAGCUUCAAUGUUGACUGUGAGAAAUUGGAUCCAGCUGAUGUUGAUGCAGUAGCAACAACAGUGAAGAGAGUUCUUACAGCAUAUGGUACCCCUGCCUUCAAGGAAAUGAUCAAGAAUUGCAUGGCCAAAGAUCUUUCAUGGAAGGGACCAGCCAAACUGUGGGAAAAGAUGUUACUGAGUUUGGAGGUUGCUGGCAGUGAAGCAGGUUCUGAAGAGGAGGAGAUUGGUCCUCUUGGCAAGGAAAAUUUAGCCACUCCCUAAGCACCCCGUUUAAAAUUAUGUGCAAGUAAGCUAAUGCGUGAUGCGGCUAGGUAGAAUUAACUCAUUAAGCUUAAGUAUCUCUUGUUUUUUGGGACUUCAUCGGGCUAUGCUAAAUAAGUAAUAACUGUCACGCCCUCUUUCAAGUUGAUGACAUACGUGGUGGAAACUUAAGAGCUGGUGUGCAAUGCAAGGGAAGUAUAUUUUUGGAGGUGAAUGGUGUUUGAACUUUGAAGCGCUAAGUUUUCUAAUUUAUUUGCUUCCCCUUUCUUUUUCCCUGA